CACAACCCACAAAUUAUAUGCUGGAACGUGAGAGGAUUAAACAAUCCAGCUAAGAGGAAAGUAGUUAGAGAGUUCAUUGCCUCGUUGAGAGUCAACGUGGUGUGUUUACAGGAGACCAAAUUGGACACUGUGGAUCAAUUUUUAGUUUUGCAAUGCAUUGGGCCAUCUUUUGAUAGUUUUUCUUAUUUGCCUGCGGUGGAAACACGUGGAGGUAUCUUACUUGCUUGGGACUGCUCGUGCCUGACGGUGGAUAGCAUACAGAUCGAUACUAAUUUCCUAACAGGCAAAGUGAGAAAACUGGAUGGUAACGAGUGGUGGAUCUCGGUGGUGUAUGCCCCCCCAGGGAGAUGA
This 351-nucleotide ribosomal RNA is filed under the name Triticum aestivum (bread wheat). Its description in RNAcentral is "partial small subunit ribosomal RNA". Lineage: Eukaryota; Viridiplantae; Streptophyta; Magnoliopsida; Poales; Poaceae. The record is from RNAcentral.